GUUUCUUUUGUAGGAUGUUCGUUGGAAGAAGCUGAAAUUGGUGGAGGGAGAGAAACCUCCCUACGACCAGCGAAGUUUCUUUGUGAUAUCUGACUCGACAAAGUCAAUGGUAUGAAUAGUCAUCUAGCUGCAAUAAUGAUUUCAUCGUCAGUGCGUAAAAGUUAAACUCGUUUCUUCUGUAGGAUGUUCAUUGAAAGAAGCCGGAAUUGGUGGGGGGCGAGAGACCUCUUUACGACCAGCAAAGUUUCUUUGUGAUAUCUGACUUGUCAUGUCAGUACGAGCAUUAUUAGUUCCAGGAUUUGAUCUAGGAGGACGAACCGGACGCCAUUGCAAAGAUGGUAAUAAAAGAUAAGUUUGUUCUUCUUUAUGUUCAAGAAUUAAUCUUGAUGCAUCACUUGUUUCUAUUCUUAAAAAUAGAAAAAAUAGCAAGAUUAUACAACAAUUAGCAAAAAAAAUGUUAAUUUUUGUUGCCAUGUUGAUUUAAUUUGUAGGAAAAAUGAUUGGAUUAUAUGAUUUUGGUGAUAUUUUUAUUUUUUUUG
RNAcentral lists this long non-coding RNA (539 nucleotides) under Capsicum annuum. Its description in RNAcentral is "long non-coding RNA (CANN_LNC010698)". Lineage: Eukaryota; Viridiplantae; Streptophyta; Magnoliopsida; Solanales; Solanaceae. The record is from RNAcentral.